AGUAAUGAACGGAAGCUAAAUCGAGCCUUUUGGGAAAGCAGCACAGUUUACUUGGUAUUUUCUGUUCAAGGAUCUGGACAUUUCCAGGGAUUUUCUAGGAUGUCUUCUGAGAUUGGAAGGGAAAAGAGUCAGGACUGGGGCUCUGCUGGACUAGGAGGAGUAUUUAAGGUGGAGUGGAUACGAAAAGAAAGCCUUCCCUUUCAAUUUGCACACCAUUUACUCAAUCCAUGGAAUGACAACAAGAAAGUGCAGAUAAGCAGGGAUGGGCAGGUAUACAAUGGCAUUUUUUUUUUUUUUACUUUUGUUUCUGUUAUCCAGUGCUUUAAUUGAGGAGAAAAUGUAAGAGUACAAAUUUUAUAUUCCAUAUGCACAUGGGAAACAGGGGUUCAGGUUUGUAAAAAGAUAGUAAAAACCUACUUGUAAAUGUGUCUGAUUGCUCCUUGCAGUCAGAGUCUCAAGAUGACAAUAGUAUUUAACUUCUCUUUGGCUUUAAUUAUGUAAAGUAAAUAACCUUUUUAUAUUCUAGUGGCUUGUUUAUUUCUAUUAUGUUUUGCUUUGUCUUCAUGAUGCUACUUACAUGCAUUUUAAGCUAGUUAAGAUGAUGGAAAUUAAUGUAUAUUGACCAAAUACUAUGCUAGCUGCUUUAGAAGAUAUAAUUUAUUUCUUAUGAUUAAAGUAUUA
Molecule: small RNA, 681 nt
Filed under: Pan troglodytes (chimpanzee)
Lineage: Eukaryota; Metazoa; Chordata; Mammalia; Primates; Hominidae
Description: retained intron
Source: RNAcentral